Cucumis melo (muskmelon) is the source of this 969-nucleotide RNA transcript. RefSeq lists it as uncharacterized. The record is from RefSeq and is a predicted model, not a curated record. The transcript has 6 exons. Lineage: Eukaryota; Viridiplantae; Streptophyta; Magnoliopsida; Cucurbitales; Cucurbitaceae.
GGCUACUUUGGUUGAUUCCUUUCUAGCAUAUCUUGAUGAACUCUCUAAUGUAAACAAGUUUCAGGUUUCUAAAGGCUUUUUACUUCUCCGUGUAAAUGAAGUAAUAACUAUGUUGGUUGUUAUUAAGUGAGUGGUCCAGGGGCUUUAUAAAAUAGCUGGAAGCAAACUCAAUGGCUUGAUUGCUGGGGCUUGGGGAUGUCUUCGAGAGAAAAAGGGUUCUUAUUGACAACUAAGCCAACCCCAUGAUGACCUAUGAGUUUUUUUAACAUCAGAAGUUGGAAGGAUUCGAACACUUCCGCAGAUUAAUUGAAAGCGUGUAAGCUGCCUUGGAUACCUAGGCAAGAAUCUUGACGGGAUAGAAACAAGAAUGCCUUUGAACUUCUUGGGCCUUGGCGUGGGUGGUGGGUGUGGCGUUGGAUUAGGACUUAGAUGGGGAUUUGGCACAACUUUCGGGAGUAAGUAUCGGUCCUCAAGGAUGAUAUUUCAGGGAAUGGAAUUCGACAACAAGGAUCAAAAUCAGAGUUAUGAUAUCAAGGACUCGAAAGAUUCAUCCAGAAAUUCCAGACUUAUGCAUUGUUGGAAGAGUUUCUUAAUCUUUCUAAAGAACUUGGAAGCAUUCUGGUUAACAAUACAAGAGUUUGUUAUUCCAUGGAAUCAUAUGUGCUUCAAUGCCCUUAUGGAAAGACUGGACCCAAUUGUACAUGGAACAGAUACGUCCUUCAGGGAGCUAUCACUAAACAAAUGACUGCAAUAGAAGAAAUGGUUGCAAGUGAGUACAAUUAGCUAGACCCUCAUCUUUGUGACAAGAUCUUGAAGUUGGUCAUUUGUGAAGCGUUCUAGUUUACUAUUAGUUGCAGUGUAAUAAUUAAGCUUCAUAAUUUCUUUGUGUUUGGAGCCAAAUUGUAUAUAAAUGUACACAUUAUUAAGAUUUCAUUAUGUAUAUGUACAAGUAAAAGAUUUCAUUUUUAA